Molecule: RNA transcript, 3470 nt
Organism: Chenopodium quinoa (quinoa)
Lineage: Eukaryota; Viridiplantae; Streptophyta; Magnoliopsida; Caryophyllales; Amaranthaceae
Gene name: RNA pseudouridine synthase 1-like
Exons: 4
Source: RefSeq, a predicted model, not a curated record
UUUGAUACUCCAAUUGUUGAAAUUUGACAAGAGAUGCGCAUGUUUUCAAUAAUUGUUUACUCCAUAUUAUAGAUGAUGGUUUUUUAUUCUUUUCUUUUUUCAUACUUCGUAUAUAGAAUUACUAGUUUAACCAGUGUAAUUGUACGAUUUUAUCAAAUUUUAUAAAGAUUUAAAAUAAUUUGUAUUUAGUUCAACAAUAUGUUCUCUUCGCAGCCUGCCAAGCUUGCCCGUAGACAUGGCUUGAAGAAGAUCAUUAUCAAAUAUGAUUUUCAAGCCAUCACCAAGAGAUUGACGAAGGCUGAUAUCUACUACUCUGACCUUGAUUUUAUAAAGCGGGAAGCAAAUAAUAUAGCUCAUCAGCUUACUAGGCUAAUUUCUUUUGGGAUUGAACAAGUUUGAAAAAAUCAUGCCCCAAACGAGAUGAUACCUUAUGUAUUGAUGGACACUUUGUACCGUGAUUAAACUCAUUUCCCGUUUUUCUCAACAAAAAUAACUACGUAUAAGUAGAAUUAAAAAAAAAAAAAAAAAAAAAAAAAAAAAAAAAAAAAAAGACCUCAUGUUCCUCCGUUUCGCCCUCGUAAUGUUUAUUCUCUGAUGCUCUUCACUCACCCUCUAACUUCUAAACUCUUGCACCCCAUCAAACUCUCCCUAAUCAAACACUUUUCUCAAUCAACCCUACAAAUUUCAAUGUCAAUUGAAACUCUAAAACAAUCAAAUUCAACUUCAAUGGAAGAAACCCAUUUGCCAAAAACCUCAUCAAAUUCCUCUUACCCAACUCCAUUAUCCCCACCAUUACCUCUAAUUUCUAAGGAAAUCGAGCUUAGCAGAGCCAUGGCUGCUUCUUCAAAGGCCACUGUUUUCUCUCUUUCCAGAGAUGACGUCAUCUUCGAGGAUCAAUGGUUGCUUGUUGUUAAUAAACCCUCUGGGAUUUACUGUGAGACUGUCCUGUCUUCUGUCCCUCGUCUUCUUCAACAAUCUUCUGAUUCAGUUGAAGCUUCAGAGUUACAUCUUGCUAACAGGUUGGAUCGUGAUACAAGUGGUGUAAUGGUUAUAACCAAAUUUCACAAAGUAGCUGCCAAGCUUGUCAAGGCAUUUACUGAUCACAAGGUUCAGAAAACAUAUAUGGCUCUUUGUGUAGGGUCUGCACCAAAAUGGGAUAGAAUCAGGUUGAAAUCUGGCCAUGGUAGAUCUAAAUUUGGUGCUUGGCGUGUAUAUGCUGCGUCAGAUGUUGGUCGGAAACUACCUGGUGGAUCUGUGGUGAAGGACAUGGAGACACUUUUUGAGCUAUUGUCAGUAAAUAGGGUAAUCCAUUUUAAAGAGUCAUUCCAGUGUGCAGAAAAUCUAGAAAAAGUUGUGGUUGUUGAGGAUAAAUCAUCAACAGAUGCUAACCACGGAAGGGAUGAGAUAUUGGUCCGAGCUUUUCCAAAGAGUGGAAGGACACAUCAGAUCAGGUUGCACUGUCAGUACCUUGGACUGUCAAUUAAAGGAGAUGUAAAAUAUGAAGGUGUCUGUGAGUGGAAAGGGGAAAUUUGUGAUGCCCAUAGUCUUCAUGCAGAGAGUUUGUCAUUAGAACACCCUAUUACUGGUCUUCCAGUAAAAUUUCAGGCACCAUUGCCUUUGUGGGCAACCCAAGCAUGCAAUCAUGAAGAUCACACAUAAGGAUGAACCAAGUCACAUGCCAAUUUGUAUGCCAAGAGAUAGUUUCAUUGGUCAGUAGCAUGGUUGGUAAUGUAAAUGACAGUCUGCUGUCGACGUGAGAUGUUUAGAUUGGGAAUGUGCAUUUAAGAAUGGGAAUCACAUUUAAAAUAAUUUCCCUUAUUUAUUAUGGACUGAAAAAGCCUUAGUUUCAAUAUAUGCAACUUGAGCUAUUGAGAUUCUCUUGACUUGGUCAGCUACCCUUGUUUCCGUGUUCCAAUUGAGUGCAUUGACUCAAUGGGCUGGGGCAUCGUUCAUUCGUUCUGACUUCUGAUUGCUCUUAAAAAUGUCUCAAAGUAUGUAUGGACCUCUUACUGAAGCAACUUUGUGGGAGUACUGGAUGCAGAGAAUUUCUUACGCAGAAUACCAGUCUGAGAAUAGUGCAAACAAAUUGGCAAUUGCAGCUCAUAGCAAACAUCUUGCAAUUAGUCAAAAGUGGACAUUAGGACUGUUGCCUCUUACUUUCAGCCCAUUUAUCGCAACAAUCAAUACAUCCAUAUUUCCUGUCUUUUCCUGGGCUGUUCUCAUAGAUGAGUAGAAGAGGAUGGUAAAAGCCAGGGUGUUGGAAGGGACACUCUGGCUGGUGUGUAUGCAAAUGCAAUGUUUUUUUGGGAAUUCCCUGCUCCAAUACCAACUGGCAUUGCUAUUGAUGCUUGUGGUCCAAUUUUCUCCCAUACUCCCAUUGGUGAUAAUGCUGGGGAAAGGCAGCUUGGUGGGCACGGGCAUUAGCUAGAAGCCGUCAUGACUUAAGAGUGAACUAAUGCUCUUGAUGCUGCUGGCAACACAACUGCUGCCACCGGAAAGGUUAGGCACACCAAAUUUUAGUUAUAGUGAUGCCACAUAAAUUUGGAAACUUUUUUAUUAAUUCGCAAUUAAAAAAACUAGUUACCAUACAUGCCUAUUGUAAUGUACACCAGAACAGAAGAAAUUAGCUAUGCUAUGCAGGCUUGUUUUAUGAAUCAUGCCAAAAUGCUGGGACCACAAAGGGUCAAAUUCACCCAAGGCGGCAUUCAUUGGCAGCACCAUUAGCGACUUCCAUUUUAAGGACACCUCCGGCCCUGCACUCAACAUCCUUAACAAAUUCAUGUCAGUGGAAUCUGUGGUGUUUGCUCCAUUCUUUGCGGUCCAUGGUCUGACUGUCAACCUUGUUUAGAACUACACCGUUAUGGACUGCUUAUAAUAUUGUUAAUUUGCUAUCCAGCAGAAUAUAUAAUUAUCUUGCAACAGUUCAACCAAGAGGUCCAUGGAAUUAGCUAUUUGGCAACAUCAUGAGCAUGUAAACCGAGAAGUCAAUCAUCUUGCCAAUUUCAUUGCAGUUAUGGACCAUCACCCAUCAUAUUGAUCAAUAAGGAAGUUGAAGCUAAUCUAGGCCAACAUAGGGCCUUGACCAUCUCAUACAACUAUCAAAUAAACUAGGGUAGUCACUCCAUUGAUCAUCCUCGGUGUUGCAUGAUUUGUCCUCUAUUUAACCGAAACUUGCUAUCAAGUCGGAGUAGGUAACAUGCAGUAAUAGAAAACACAUAAAAUGCAAAUGUAGAUCAUUCUCAUCUUCAAUUGGUUUUUUAAGCUUAUCCCAUGUGAUAUCUUACUGUUGUGAACCCGAAAAUUGUUAAAUUGGUAAACUACUCUAGGAAAACUGAUCUUGCUAUUUUUAUAAGAGUAGUUGCAUCCAAAGUGCAGAUUUAUAAUGAUAGUUUUAUGGAUACUUUAGAUAGAAGUUUUGAAUUAAAAAAUUAUGUAAAUAUUAAGAAAAAAAGAGAAAGUAAUAAGCAAUA